RNAcentral lists this ribosomal RNA (301 nucleotides) under uncultured bacterium. RNAcentral describes it as "partial 16S ribosomal RNA". It matches the Rfam family "Bacterial small subunit ribosomal RNA", at positions 509 to 809 of the family's 1533-position model. The record is from RNAcentral.
CAGUCGCCGCGGUAAUACAGAGGGUGCGAGCGUUAAUCGGAUUUACUGGGCGUAAAGCGUGCGUAGGCGGCUUCUUAAGUCGGAUGUGAAAUCCCUGAGCUUAACUUAGGAAUUGCAUUCGAUACUGGGAAGCUAGAGUAUGGGAGAGGAUGGUAGAAUUCCAGGUGUAGCGGUGAAAUGCGUAGAGAUCUGGAGGAAUACCGAUGGCGAAGGCAGCCAUCUGGCCUAAUACUGACGCUGAGGUACGAAAGCAUGGGGAGCAAACAGGAUUAGAUACCCCUGUAGUCCUGUCUCUUAUACA